RNAcentral lists this ribosomal RNA (497 nucleotides) under uncultured bacterium. Its description in RNAcentral is "partial 16S ribosomal RNA". It matches the Rfam family "Bacterial small subunit ribosomal RNA", at positions 28 to 507 of the family's 1533-position model. The record is from RNAcentral.
GAUGAACGCUGGCGGCGUGCCUAAUACAUGCAAGUCGAGCGAACGGACGAGAAGCUUGCUUCUCUGAUGUUAGCGGCGGACGGGUGAGUAACACGUGGAUAACCUACCUAUAAGACUGGGAUAACUUCGGGAAACCGGAGCUAAUACCGUAUAAUAUUUUGAACCGCAUGGUUCAAAAGUGAAAGACGGUCUUGCUGUCACUUAUAGAUGGAUCCGCGCUGCAUUAGCUAGUUGGGAAGGUAACGGCCUACCAAGGCAACGAUGCAUAGCCGACCUGAGAGGGUGGUCGGCCACACUGGAACUGAGACACGGUCCAGACUCCUACGGGAGGCAGCAGUAGGGAAUCUUCCGCAAUGGGCGAAAGCAUGACGGAGCAAGGCCGCGUGAGUGAUGAAGGUCUUCGGAUCGUAAAACUCUGUUAUUAGGGAAGAACAUAUGUGUAAGUAACUGUGCACAUCUUGACGGUACCUAAUCAGAAAGCCACGGCUAACUACGUG